UUCUACUCUCACAUCCGGAUCGAACUUUUUGUAGAAAAAAGUGGUGUAGAGUGUCCUUUAUAUAUAUAUAUAUAUAGUACUUUGAUCAUAAUCUCAAGCUAAAACUUCAUCUUUGUACAGUACAAUAUGGUUGGAAGAACAAGGCACCACGUCAAAGAAACUGACAAAUGAAUAGAGAUGAAUGCGUGCAGGAUCAAUCAUUUGUGUUCUCACUUUGUUCGCCUUUCCUCUUCUCAACACUCCCAUCUCCCCCAACAGCUGUACUGAACCCAUUGUUGCUUCUCUUCUUCCCCAGCCACAAGGUCUGAUCUCCUCCCCCACUGUCUUGUCCUUUGUCUUCGUAGAGAGGGCCCUUCACAAACAGUAGUAACCUCUUCGGCACAGUCGGUCUCCUGUUUCAUCCCAAAGAAAAAGGCAUCAUUCUCUGGGAUAUGUAUGUAGACUCACUGCGCAGUGUUCCCAAGCUAAACGUAUAAAAGCUAGCCAACUGCAUGCAUACCAUGGGAGAAGACCUUCUUAAAUAAUGUUCUGAUGCUUGGAGGUUGUUACAUGUCAAAGUCAGUGGACAACGCCACCCAAACAGUUCACUUCUUUAACUUGGUUUUCGUUCCAAGUCAAUCUCUCAUACAUGCAAGGGGGAGUUCAGCCAUGAGAAGCAAAGAUGGCCACGAUCUUAAAUCU
Molecule: long non-coding RNA, 681 nt
Filed under: Musa acuminata (dwarf banana)
Lineage: Eukaryota; Viridiplantae; Streptophyta; Magnoliopsida; Zingiberales; Musaceae
Description: long non-coding RNA (MACU_LNC002050)
Source: RNAcentral